GCUGGGAUAGCUCAGUUGGUAGAGCACCGGACUGAAAAUCCGGGUGUCGCCAGUUCGACUCUGGCUCCCAGCACCA
This 76-nucleotide transfer RNA is filed under the name Bacillota bacterium. Its description in RNAcentral is "Firmicutes bacterium (hot springs metagenome) tRNA-Phe". It matches the Rfam family "tRNA". From Rfam's summary of the family: Transfer RNA (tRNA) molecules are approximately 80 nucleotides in length. Their secondary structure includes four short double-helical elements and three loops (D, anti-codon, and T loops). Further hydrogen bonds mediate the characteristic L-shaped molecular structure. tRNAs have two regions of fundamental functional importance: the anti-codon, which is responsible for specific mRNA codon recognition, and the 3' end, to which the tRNAs corresponding amino acid is attached (by aminoacyl-tRNA synthetases). tRNAs cope with the degeneracy of the genetic code in two manners: having more than one tRNA (with a specific anti-codon) for a particular amino acid; and 'wobble' base-pairing, i.e. permitting non-standard base-pairing at the 3rd anti-codon position. Lineage: Bacteria; Bacillati; Bacillota. The record is from RNAcentral.